GACGAACGCAGGCGGCAUGCCUAAUACAUGCAAGUCGAGCGAACAGAUGAAGUGCUUGCACUUCUGACGUUAGCGGCGAACGGGUGAGUAACACGUAAGGAAUCUACCUAUAAGCGGGGGAUAACAUUCGGAAACGGGUGCUAAUACCGCAUAAUAUCUUCUUCCGCAUGGAAGAAGAUUGAAAGACGGCUCUGCUGUCACUUAUAGAUGACCUUGCGGUGCAUUAGUUAGUUGGUGGGGUAACGGCCUACCAAGAAGAUGAUGCAUAGCCGACCGGAGAGGGUGAUCGGCCACAUUGGGACUGAGACACGGCCCAAACUCCUACGGGAGGCAGCAGUAGGGAAUCUUCCGCAAUGGGCGAAAGCCUGACGGAGCAAUGCCGCGUGAGUGAAGAAGGCCUUCGGGUCGUAAAACUCUGUUAUAAGAGAAGAACAAAUUGUAGAGUAACUGCUACAGUCUUGACGGUAUCUUAUCAGAAAGCCACGGCUAACUACGUGCCAGCAGCCGCAGUAA
RNAcentral lists this ribosomal RNA (513 nucleotides) under uncultured bacterium. RNAcentral describes it as "partial 16S ribosomal RNA". It matches the Rfam family "Bacterial small subunit ribosomal RNA", at positions 28 to 523 of the family's 1533-position model. The record is from RNAcentral.